CUUGCAAAUACGAACGUCAAAGUGUAAGAACAAACUUGUUUUGGUGACCAGAAAUAAAUUACCUGCACAAGUCGUUCUUAAAGCUACAGGAUGCAAGAGGAAAGCAUAGUUAGAGCUACAGGAUAUAAGAGGAAAACAUAGUCACACAGGACGAACAAAAGGGAGAGACGAACAAGAUGAUUACAUGAACACAACGUGUCCUAGGUCCUCUCCCGCCGCCCUGGCUACUGCCUGCCCUGCACUCGCGCACGCCGCUCCGCAGCUGUCCCAAGCAUCAACCAUGUGCCUCGCCCGCGCCCUUCAGUAGCCCCACGAGCACCUGGCAGCCGUCACCGGCGCCCUCGCCUGCGAUUCUGCGAUGCCGAGACGAGCGGUCCUGCACCGGGAUGAAUGUAGCUAGAGCGAUGGCCAUGUCUGUACGCGCAGCCGUAGCACGCCCUUGUAGACCACAAAGAGAAAUGAGCAUAAGAGAUGAGGAAAAAAACUACCUGGAUUGCAGCCCCCACUGCCCUAGCUCAGGCACAUUGCCGGCUUGUUUUCUGCUCCUCCAUGAGUCGUGGCGAUUCGAGGGGGCUCCGGGCCUCAGCCGCUUCCGCCUCGACGAUCAACCCUGUCCAGGGCUCGGGGCUUUAUAGAGGACCACCAGGAGCAUCUCGAUGAAGACGAUAGAGACAACGCCGCCGCGGCGACCGAUGCUGGUGAGUUCAGAGGCCAGGAGGUAGAGCGCGAUGGCCACCCCAAACGUAGGCGUGAACCCUGCGCGUCCACCACUUCCCCGCCCGCGUCAUGCUAGUGACGCGCUCCUCGAGGAGGAACACCAUUGAAACGGUGCACAUGGCGGCCUCCCGUCUGGCACGAUGGCGAGCAUGACCAGGAAGGAGGAACAUGCAUGGUCAGGUCGUUAGGAAAUAAGGAGAAGCCCUAGCAGAUCGUGCAUGUAUGGAUGUGUGCAUACCGGUGCGUUGAUUUUGCCUGGUCUAGCGGCAGUUCUGGAUUGCAUAGGAAACGUGCAUGCGUGGGUAGGGUUGUUUCUUUUUUGGUUUUUCCCCUUGUAAACCGGAGGGUUGGAAGUGUGGGAGGUGCUGUAAAAAGAUCGUUGCGGUUCUCGCGAGAGGCGAUCAUGGUCUCGUGGAUGGAUCGUGGGAAGGAGGUGGCCCAAUGAUACGUGUCCAACGAGGUGGGGGGAUCGAACGAGGUGUCGAACCACGAGGGGAGGUCGAACCAUCACGACGUUCGAUCCCCCUUUAAUAGUAGAGAUUUCAGAAAUUAGCCAUGCAUGCCUCAUUCAAUUACACAAGUAAAUAUAGAAAGCCAUGGUGCAACAAGCAUUCCAAAAUAAUAUAUUAUUUAGACACACAAGUAUAACCCAAGACAUGGUGCAGCAAGCAUUCUAAAAUUAUGUAUCAUUCCAUCACAGAGAUUAAUAAACCCUGACUUGGCACACCACAUCUGAACCAUUUGAGGAUAGCAAGCAAACAUCACAUAUGAAAGGAUAGCAGGCAAACAUCACAUAUGACAGGAUAGCACAAAUUAUGGCAAGGCAAAUUUAUUUGCUUAUUCUACCAGCAAACAAACAUCACAUAUGACAGGAUAACACAAAUUAUAGAUGAACAAACCUUGAAUCUGCCUCAGCUAAACAACCUGCAAAUUUAUGAGAGACAAUUUGUUAGCAUCUGAAUAUGUAUCGAAGUUCAUAGCUUGCACUGGUGUAUUUACAAUAUGGCAAUAUUCACAUCUGGUCGAGAUAUGGUGGGGAGGCCAUCGGAUCUGAAUCAUUUGAUGAGACAGAGGGAUAUAUGGGAGAGACGGUGGCUACAGAGGAGGUGACAGGCGACGAGGUAGGGGCCAAAUCGGGUGGGGAGAAGGCAGGGGAUCUCAGUGAGAGAUGCAUCGGGUGAGAGGGACGGGUUCAAAGAGGCAUGGAGGAAGAGGUCUGGCCGGAUGGGGCGUAGGCGGAUGGCCGGAGAUGCAGGCCGACCGGGGAGAUGGGGGCGGGCCGCAUGGGCGAUGGGGGCGGGUGCCGGGGGUGCUGCAUGGGAGAUGUGGAGAGGGAGGAGGCCGGUGCUGGCCGGAGAAGGAAAGGAGGGGGAGGGGCGAGGCCGGGGCUCACCUGCGCCCCCGCGUGCCGCCGCUUCUCCACCUCGUCCCGCGCGAGCCCUUUUCGCUUCUGGGGCGGUCGAGCGAAAUCAGCCCAAAACCGAGCGCCAGAGCAAAGAAUUCUGGAAGAGCGCGCGAAGUGUUCCCAGGCUGCUUCCAAUAUCACGGUCCAAUGUCUAUGACCACCCAAACGCACGCACCCAAUUACACAAUUCUACCCCUCAAUCUCCACAUCCAAACACAGCGGAGUGGGUGGGAGAGGGGGGCACGGUGCUUACGGUGGCGGCGGCGCGCGAGCGCAGGGCUCCUCGGCAUGGCCCUGCGCAGUGGGCUGCGAGGUGGUGGCGCCCGUUGCGGCCGCUCGAUCUGGCUCGGGUCCGAGCGGAUCCGGGCGGCGGAUGGCCUGAUGGCCGCCGAUGGAUCCUCCUACCGCUCCUAGAGGUCUUCCUCGUGCCUCCAUGGGUGCGUGCGGAGGCGGCUUCGUAGAUGUGGGGCUGGUGGCGGCGCGCUCAUCCGGAUCUGACAGCAAGAUCGGGGUGGGAGGCACAGGUUAGGCAGCGGCCUGGUGUGGUUGUUGCUCCGGCCAUGGACGGCGGCGCGGGAAGGUCCGGCACAUGGGCGGUAGCCUACUGGUGGCGUGGCGGCUACACGGUGGCCCGACAGCUCUGCUCACGGCGACGGUCGGCUUCUACUUCGGCGUCGGCUCGUCUGUAAGCGGACUGUUUCGACUUUCACUUCAAC
Molecule: ribosomal RNA, 2838 nt
Filed under: Triticum aestivum (bread wheat)
Lineage: Eukaryota; Viridiplantae; Streptophyta; Magnoliopsida; Poales; Poaceae
Description: partial small subunit ribosomal RNA
Source: RNAcentral